CUCACUUUAGCUCAGCUGGAAGAGCAUGAGACUGUAACGGUUACACUGCUAAGCAAAUCUCAGGGUCGCCUGUUCGAGCCAGGCAAGUGAGA
RNAcentral lists this transfer RNA (92 nucleotides) under Ephemerocybe angulata. Its description in RNAcentral is "Coprinellus angulatus tRNA". It matches the Rfam family "tRNA". Rfam says of the family: Transfer RNA (tRNA) molecules are approximately 80 nucleotides in length. Their secondary structure includes four short double-helical elements and three loops (D, anti-codon, and T loops). Lineage: Eukaryota; Fungi; Basidiomycota; Agaricomycetes; Agaricales; Psathyrellaceae. The record is from Rfam by way of RNAcentral.